This 74-nucleotide transfer RNA is filed under the name Bacteroidota bacterium. RNAcentral describes it as "tRNA-Pro". It matches the Rfam family "tRNA". From Rfam's summary of the family: Transfer RNA (tRNA) molecules are approximately 80 nucleotides in length. Their secondary structure includes four short double-helical elements and three loops (D, anti-codon, and T loops). The record is from RNAcentral. RNAcentral also lists the same sequence under 2 other names. Lineage: Bacteria; Pseudomonadati; Bacteroidota.
CGGGGCGUAGCGCAGGUGGCUAGCGCGUCUGUUUUGGGAGCAGAAGGUCGCAGGUUCAAGUCCUGCCGCCCCGA